AUUUUUAUGGAGAGUUUGAUCCUGGCUCAGGAUGAACGCUGGCGGCGUGCCUAAUACAUGCAAGUCGAGCGGACGGACG
This 79-nucleotide ribosomal RNA is filed under the name Staphylococcus aureus. RNAcentral describes it as "partial 16S ribosomal RNA". It matches the Rfam family "Bacterial small subunit ribosomal RNA", at positions 1 to 76 of the family's 1533-position model. Lineage: Bacteria; Bacillati; Bacillota; Bacilli; Caryophanales; Staphylococcaceae. The record is from RNAcentral.